RNAcentral lists this ribosomal RNA (484 nucleotides) under uncultured bacterium. RNAcentral's name for it is "partial 16S ribosomal RNA". It matches the Rfam family "Bacterial small subunit ribosomal RNA", at positions 29 to 507 of the family's 1533-position model. The record is from RNAcentral.
AUUGGACGCUGGCGGAAUGCUUUACACAUGCAAGUCGAGCGGCAGCGCGGCCUUCGGGCUGGCGGCGAGCGGCGAACGGGUGAGUAAUGCAUCGGAACAUGCCCAGUCGUGGGGGAUAACACUUCGAAAGAAGUGCUAAUACCGCAUACGUCCUGAGGGGGAAAGCGGGGGAUCGCAAGACCUCGCGCGAUUGGAGUGGCCGAUGUCAGAUUAGCUAGUUGGUGGGGUAAAGGCCUACCAAGGCGACGAUCUGUAGCUGGUCUGAGAGGAUGAUCAGCCACACUGGGACUGAGACACGGCCCAGACUCCUACGGGAGGCAGCAGUGGGGAAUGUUGGACAAUGGGGGCAACCCUGAUCCAGCCAUUCCGCGUGAGUGAAGAAGGCCUUCGGGUUGUAAAGCUCUUUCGGCAGGAACGAAACGGUGGGCUCUAACAUAGUCCGCUAAUGACGGUACCUGAAGAAGAAGCACCGGCUAACUACGUG